GAAUAUUGGACAAUGGGCGCAAGCCUGAUCCAGCCAUGCCGCGUGUGUGAAGAAGGCCUUCGGGUUGUAAAGCACUUUCAGCGAGGAGGAAGGGUGUUGUGUUAAUAGCACAGCAUUUUGACGUUACUCGCAGCAGAAGCACCGGCUAACUCCGUGCCAGCAGCCGCGGUAAUACGGAGGGUGCAAGCGUUAAUCGGAAUUACUGGGCGUAAAGCGUGCGCAGGCGGCUCCUCAAGUCAGAUGUGAAAUCCCCGGGCUUAACCUGGGAACUGCGUUUGAAACUAGGGAGCUUGAGUGUGGAAGAGGGGGGUGGAAUUCCAGGUGUAGCAGUGAAAUGCGUAGAGAUCUGGAGGAACACCGAUGGCGAAGGCAGCCCCCUGGGCUAACACUGACGCUCAUGCACGAAAGCGUGGGGAGCAAACAGG
This 425-nucleotide ribosomal RNA is filed under the name uncultured bacterium. RNAcentral's name for it is "bacterial SSU rRNA". It matches the Rfam family "Bacterial small subunit ribosomal RNA", at positions 359 to 776 of the family's 1533-position model. The record is from RNAcentral.